ACCUGGUUGAUCCUGCCAGAGGCGACCGCUAUUGGAGUUCGAUUAAGCCAUGCGAGUAGAAAGAAAUUAGAUUCUUUGCAUACUGCUCAGUAAAACGUGGAUAACCUGCCCUACACUGGGGGAUAACCUCGGGAAACUGAGAAUAAUACCCCAUAGACCACAACGCCUGGAACGGUGUGUGGUUGAAAGCUCAGGCGGUGUAGGAUGGGUCUGCGGCGUGUCAGGUCGUAGGGGGUGUAAUGGACCUCCUAGCCAUCGACGCGUACGGGUUGUGGGAGCAAUAGCCCGGAGACGGAUUCUGAGACACGAAUCCGGACCCUACGGGGUGCAGCAGGCGCGAAAACUUCACACUGCAGGCAACUGUGAUGAGGGAACUCCAAGUGACUGCACAUUGUGUAGCCUUUUCUUGAAUUUUAAUAGUUCUUGGAAUAAGGGCUGGGAAAGACCGGUGCCAGCCGCCGCGGUAAUACCGGCAGCUCAAGUGGUCGUCGCUUUUAUUGGGCCUAAAACGUCCGUAGCCUGUUUGGUAAA
This 531-nucleotide ribosomal RNA is filed under the name uncultured Candidatus Poseidoniales archaeon. RNAcentral describes it as "bacterial SSU rRNA". It matches the Rfam family "Archaeal small subunit ribosomal RNA", at positions 1 to 537 of the family's 1478-position model. Lineage: Archaea; Methanobacteriati; Thermoplasmatota; Candidatus Poseidoniia; Candidatus Poseidoniales. The record is from RNAcentral.